RNAcentral lists this ribosomal RNA (434 nucleotides) under uncultured bacterium. RNAcentral's name for it is "partial 16S ribosomal RNA". It matches the Rfam family "Bacterial small subunit ribosomal RNA", at positions 28 to 507 of the family's 1533-position model. The record is from RNAcentral.
GGCGAACGCUGGCGGCAGGCCUAACACAUGCAAGUCGAACGAACCUUUCGGGGUUAGUGGCGGACGGGUGAGUAACACGUGGGAACGUGCCUUUAGGUUCGGAAUAACUCAGGGAAACUUGUGCUAAUACCGAAUGUGCCCUUCGGGGGAAAGAUUUAUCGCCUUUAGAGCGGCCCGCGUCUGAUUAGCUAGUUGGUUGAGGUAAUGGCUCACCAAGGCGACGAUCAGUAGCUGGUCUGAGAGGAUGAUCAGCCACAUUGGGACUGAGACACGGCCCAAACUCCUACGGGAGGCAGCAGUGGGGAAUCUUGCGCAAUGGGCGAAAGCCUGACGCAGCCAUGCCGCGUGAAUGAUGAAGGUCUUAGGAUUGUAAAAUUCUUUCACCGGGGACGAUAAUGACGGUGCCCGGAGAAGAAGCCCCGGCUAACUUCGUG